GUGGAGAAGAGGAAAGGAUGGAAACCCUUCCAUCUGACGAUUGUGUGAGUUCAGGUAGUGGGAACAGUCAUGGGGCCCCCUCUGAUUUCAAACCCCUCCCUCCUGAAACCCGCCUCCGCAAGCGGGGGUGGAGAUGAGUGUGUGGGCGGGAUUUACCAGGCUCUGGGGGAAAGAAGAGGGGAGAGAGGGGAGAGGGAGAAGGGGAUGGAGAGGGGGAUGGAGAGAGAGAGAGAGAGAGAGAGAGAGAGAGAGAGAGAGAGAGAGAGAGAGAGAGAGAGAGAGAGAGAGAGAGAGAGAGAGAGAGCUGAGGAGAGGGAGGGGAGGGACGGAGAGGGAGGGGAGUGAGGGAAAGGAGGGGGAGAGGAGCAGGAAGAGGGACGGGAAAGGGGAGGAGAGCCAGGGAAGGAGGAGGAAGCUGGGAGGAAGACGGAGGAGGGAGAGGACCGAGCUGAGGGAGGCAGCUGGGAAAGGAGAAAGGAGGGGAAGAGGAGCAGGUGGGAGGGAUCAGGGAGAGGGGAGAGGAGGGAGGAGAGGGGAAAGAGGAGGGAAAGCCUUGGGGUGGAGGGCCUGGGGAGGAAGAAAGGCGAGUGAGGUGGGUCGCUGGGAGAGGAAGGUAGGGAGGGCUUUGGGGGUGGGGUGGGCAGGGACGGGGAGGACCUAUGGAGGUAGGCAGCCCAGAGAGGAGAGAGCAGAGAUAAGGGAUGACAGAGGAGGUGUGAGAGAUCCUGGAGAAAAGGAAAAGGGGAGAGGAGGAGGGGCCAGGAGGGAGGAGAAAGGAUCAGAGACCCUCCUUUGUCUAGGGUGGGUGGGGUAUAGAUUCAUAUUCAGCACCAGGGAGAGGGAGCCAGGGAGCUGAGGGGAGGUGGGGAGAAUUCAGAGUGGGAGUUCCAGACUCAAACCCAAGCUCACACAAACUCAGAUACAAUCCCAGGUUCACCAAAAACACACAGAGUGCCAGGUUCACACAAGCUCACACACAAUGCCAGGUUCACACAAGCUCAGACUCACAAUUCCAGGUUCACACACUGACACAGUCCGGGUUCAUAUGAUCUCAGAGCCACACACACAGUCCCCAGCUCAGAUACAAAUCGGUUGCUUUUCUCACCAGUCAGUUGAACAGCCAGACUCCCUCCGUCCUAAAGGCCCCUCCCCAUCAGGCCCCAGCCUCCUUCCUCUGGGUCAGGGAAAGAAAAUAGGAGAGGCAGGCAUGCCAGAGGGGUUGUGCCAGCUCUGGCCCCAGACUACCCCCUGGCACAGGCUGACUGCUG
Molecule: long non-coding RNA, 1268 nt
Filed under: Phascolarctos cinereus (koala)
Lineage: Eukaryota; Metazoa; Chordata; Mammalia; Diprotodontia; Phascolarctidae
Description: lncRNA (ENSPCIG00000035022.1)
Source: RNAcentral